This 478-nucleotide ribosomal RNA is filed under the name uncultured bacterium. RNAcentral describes it as "partial 16S ribosomal RNA". It matches the Rfam family "Bacterial small subunit ribosomal RNA", at positions 28 to 507 of the family's 1533-position model. The record is from RNAcentral.
GACGAACGCUGGCGGCGUGCUUAACACAUGCAAGUCGAACGGGAUUUAGUAGACAGAAGCCUCGGCUAAAGAUUACUAAUGAGAGUGGCGAACGGGUGAGUAACGCGUGAGCAACCUGCCUAUGACAGUGGGAUAGCCUCGGGAAACCGGGAUUAAUACCGCAUAAAAUCGUAUAAACACAUGUUUCAACGGUCAAAGAUUUAUCGGUCAUAGAUGGGCUCGCGUCUGAUUAGCUAGUUGGUGAGAUAACAGCCCACCAAGGCGACGAUCAGUAGCCGGUCUGAGAGGAUGAACGGCCACAUUGGAACUGAGACACGGUCCAAACUCCUACGGGAGGCAGCAGUGGGGAAUAUUGCAAAAUGGGGGAAACCCUGAUGCAGCGACGCCGCGUGAACGAAGAAGGUAUUCGUAUCGUAAAGUUCUGUCCUAUGGGAAGAUAAUGACAGUACCAUAGAAGAAAGCUCCGGCUAAAUACGUG